RNAcentral lists this ribosomal RNA (1362 nucleotides) under Micrococcus sp. 62SC2a. Its description in RNAcentral is "bacterial SSU rRNA". It matches the Rfam family "Bacterial small subunit ribosomal RNA", at positions 74 to 1445 of the family's 1533-position model. Lineage: Bacteria; Bacillati; Actinomycetota; Actinomycetes; Micrococcales; Micrococcaceae. The record is from RNAcentral.
CCCAGCUUGCUGGGUGGAUUAGUGGCGAACGGGUGAGUAACACGUGAGUAACCUGCCCUUAACUCUGGGAUAAGCCUGGGAAACUGGGUCUAAUACCGGAUAGGAGCGUCCACCGCAUGGUGGGUGUUGGAAAGAUUUAUCGGUUUUGGAUGGACUCGCGGCCUAUCAGCUUGUUGGUGAGGUAAUGGCUCACCAAGGCGACGACGGGUAGCCGGCCUGAGAGGGUGACCGGCCACACUGGGACUGAGACACGGCCCAGACUCCUACGGGAGGCAGCAGUGGGGAAUAUUGCACAAUGGGCGCAAGCCUGAUGCAGCGACGCCGCGUGAGGGAUGACGGCCUUCGGGUUGUAAACCUCUUUCAGUAGGGAAGAAGCGAAAGUGACGGUACCUGCAGAAGAAGCACCGGCUAACUACGUGCCAGCAGCCGCGGUAAUACGUAGGGUGCGAGCGUUAUCCGGAAUUAUUGGGCGUAAAGAGCUCGUAGGCGGUUUGUCGCGUCUGUCGUGAAAGUCCGGGGCUUAACCCCGGAUCUGCGGUGGGUACGGGCAGACUAGAGUGCAGUAGGGGAGACUGGAAUUCCUGGUGUAGCGGUGGAAUGCGCAGAUAUCAGGAGGAACACCGAUGGCGAAAGGCAGGUCUCUGGGGCUGUAACUGACGCUGAGGAGCGAAAGCAUGGGGAGCGAACAGGAUUAGAUACCCUGGUAGUCCAUGCCGUAAACGUUGGGCACUAGGUGUGGGGACCAUUCCACGGUUUCCGCGCCGCAGCUAACGCAUUAAGUGCCCCGCCUGGGGAGUACGGCCGCAAGGCUAAAACUCAAAGGAAUUGACGGGGGCCCGCACAAGCGGCGGAGCAUGCGGAUUAAUUCGAUGCAACGCGAAGAACCUUACCAAGGCUUGACAUGUUCUCGAUCGCCGUAGAGAUACGGUUUCCCCUUUGGGGCGGGUUCACAGGUGGUGCAUGGUUGUCGUCAGCUCGUGUCGUGAGAUGUUGGGUUAAGUCCCGCAACGAGCGCAACCCUCGUUCCAUGUUGCCAGCACGUAAUGGUGGGGACUCAUGGGAGACUGCCGGGGUCAACUCGGAGGAAGGUGAGGACGACGUCAAAUCAUCAUGCCCCUUAUGUCUUGGGCUUCACGCAUGCUACAAUGGCCGGUACAAUGGGUUGCGAUACUGUGAGGUGGAGCUAAUCCCAAAAAGCCGGUCUCAGUUCGGAUUGGGGUCUGCAACUCGACCCCAUGAAGUCGGAGUCGCUAGUAAUCGCAGAUCAGCAACGCUGCGGUGAAUACGUUCCCGGGCCUUGUACACACCGCCCGUCAAGUCACGAAAGUUGGUAACACCCGAAGCCGGUGGCCUAACCCUGUG